Phthorimaea operculella (potato tuberworm) is the source of this 72-nucleotide non-coding RNA. The record is from the annotation of a GenBank genome assembly. Lineage: Eukaryota; Metazoa; Arthropoda; Insecta; Lepidoptera; Gelechiidae.
GCCUCAAUAGCUCAGCGGCAGAGCAAUGAGGCAUUGACCCAUGGGGCCCGGGUUCGAGCCCCGGUUGAUGCA